AGAGCGAACGCUGGCGGCGUACUUAACACAUGCAAGUCGAACGGGGAUCAUCGGAUUAGCAAUAAUUCGGCGGUCCUAGUGGCGCACGGGUGAGUAACACGUGGGUAACCUGCCCUAGAGUUCGGGAUACCCCCUCGAAAGGGGGGCUAAUACCGGAUACGGUCCUCGGGUCGACAGGCCUGAGGAAGAAAGGUAGCGCAAGCUGCCGCUCUUGGAGGGCUCGCGGCCUAUCAGCUAGUUGGCGGGGUAACGCCCACCAAGGCUAUGACGGGUAGCUGGUCUGAGAGGACGACCAGCCACACGGGGACUGAGA
RNAcentral lists this ribosomal RNA (313 nucleotides) under uncultured soil bacterium. Its description in RNAcentral is "bacterial SSU rRNA". It matches the Rfam family "Bacterial small subunit ribosomal RNA", at positions 26 to 324 of the family's 1533-position model. The record is from RNAcentral.